RNAcentral lists this ribosomal RNA (252 nucleotides) under uncultured bacterium. Its description in RNAcentral is "partial 16S ribosomal RNA". It matches the Rfam family "Bacterial small subunit ribosomal RNA", at positions 524 to 776 of the family's 1533-position model. The record is from RNAcentral.
UACGUAGGUCCCGAGCGUUGUCCGGAUUUAUUGGGCGUAAAGCGGGCGCAGGUGGUUUAUUAAGUCUGGUGUAAAAGGCAGUGGCUCAACCAUUGUAUGCAUUGGAAACUGGUAGACUUGAGUGCAGGAGAGGAGAGUGGAAUUCCAUGUGUAGCGGUGAAAUGCGUAGAUAUAUGGAGGAACACCGGUGGCGAAAGCGGCUCUCUGGCCUGUAACUGACACUGAGGCUCGAAAGCGUGGGGAGCAAACAGG